GGUGGGGUUCCCGAGCGGCCAAAGGGAGCAGACUGUAAAUCUGCCGUCAUCGACUUCGAAGGUUCGAAUCCUUCCCGCACCACCA
This 85-nucleotide transfer RNA is filed under the name Escherichia coli. RNAcentral's name for it is "tRNA-Tyr". It matches the Rfam family "tRNA". Rfam says of the family: Transfer RNA (tRNA) molecules are approximately 80 nucleotides in length. Their secondary structure includes four short double-helical elements and three loops (D, anti-codon, and T loops). Further hydrogen bonds mediate the characteristic L-shaped molecular structure. tRNAs have two regions of fundamental functional importance: the anti-codon, which is responsible for specific mRNA codon recognition, and the 3' end, to which the tRNAs corresponding amino acid is attached (by aminoacyl-tRNA synthetases). tRNAs cope with the degeneracy of the genetic code in two manners: having more than one tRNA (with a specific anti-codon) for a particular amino acid; and 'wobble' base-pairing, i.e. permitting non-standard base-pairing at the 3rd anti-codon position. Lineage: Bacteria; Pseudomonadati; Pseudomonadota; Gammaproteobacteria; Enterobacterales; Enterobacteriaceae. RNAcentral also lists the same sequence under 3 other names. The record is from RNAcentral.